Molecule: long non-coding RNA, 3588 nt
Filed under: Cinara cedri
Lineage: Eukaryota; Metazoa; Arthropoda; Insecta; Hemiptera; Aphididae
Source: RNAcentral
AGUUGCCAUGCAGCGUAAUUGGCUUCUUUUCUGAUUUAUUCUUGAAGCUAUAUAUACUAGACGAGCGCAUGCGUAUUGUAAAUUCACAAUUAUGUUUUAUUCAAAUUUUAAAUAAAUUUUUUUUUUCGUUUCUAUUGAUUUUGUGUUUUUGAUUGUCUGUUUUUCUUUUUAAAUACAAAAACCAAAGUUAUUAAUAUAAAAUAAAGAUACAGAUUACUUAAAUUAGUUACAGAUGAGAAAAACUCAAAUUUAGAAUAUAAUAUUAUUGUUAUUAUUUUGAAAAAUGUAAUACGUAUUACCUUGGAGAAGUCGUUGCAUGAGUAGGUAUAAUAUGGAAGAAGAGCUGAUAUUCUAAGUGGGAGUCGAGUCAUUUUUUUUUUCUUUUCGAUUUGAAAUUAAAGAUGUGUGAUUAAUUGUUAACUACAGUAUUACUAAAAAGAAAUAGAGAAUAAAAAACCAUUGAUUAAACAUUUAUAAAUCGUUAUAUUUUGUGAUAUAAUUAAUUGGAGAAAAAAUUUAGCUUUUAAAUGAUUUUAUUGUUUUUCAUAUUGCGUAAUUAAUGAAUACAAAAAAAUUAAGGAAGCGGGAAGUUGAUAGAAUCUAGAGGUAAUAUAACUAGCAGAAAAAAAAAAAAUUUAUACUUAUCAGCUAUCGAACACCUACACAGGGUCUUACAUAUUCCAUAUUACAGUUGAAUAGUUCAAUUAAAAACAUGUUUUUUUCAAAAAAUUAAUUAUUCAAGAACUUUUUUCAGUGGAGAAGUGAAGCAUCAAUUGUGUGGCAGUACUCUAUCACUCUCCCCCUCUACCAAAACUUAGAAAUUGAACGUCUUGUCAACGGGUCGACGGAAAUCAAAAAUUUCAACGAUAAAAUAUACAUAUCUAUAUAAAUAUAGAAUUUUCGACAAAGAAUGAGAUUUGAAAAUCAAAAGUUGAUAGUUUCACCAUCGCAAAAUAAGGACAAAGAAAAAAGAGGACGAUUUAACUGUUUUAGAAUAUGCGAUUUCAAAAAGUUUUCACGUAAGAAAAAUAAGUGUUCGACUAAAUAUGCAAUAUUCGGAAGAGCUCGUGUAAAAUAUUACACCCAGUUAAUUUUUUAUCCUUUAAAAUAAAUAUAUCAUAAAACCGAUUAAAGCGCGUUCAAUGUUGUAAACAAUCAAAAAUGAUAAGUUUAUCAUAUUGUUAUUAUUUUAUAUACGCCGGUGAUUGUUAUGGUAUUUUACACGGUAUUUAUUGCUGUAUUAUGUUUUAUUAAAACAAAAAAAAAUAAUAAUAAAAAACCGAAUUCUUCUAGCCAUAAUAUUGUUUUUGUUCACGCGUUUAAACAUGUGCAAUUUGUCUAAGUGCACUUUGGAUUUUACGUAACACGAAUAUGUAUAUAUUAUACAGGGUGUCCACGUUUACAGGUAACCCUAAAUAUUUUGGCCGGAUAACCUUGGAUUCGAAUUCCAUUUGCGGGAGGUGAUGAGGGGUACUGAAAUGAAGGAUACAUUUCAAAUUUUCAACCAUUUCGGAGCGUGCAUAUAUGCAGUACAAAUGACGUUUUUCAAAUGGCAAUUGAUCCGAAUAGUGCCGUAUUCACUUGAAACAUUUUUUCAAGUGACUAUGAUCAAUAAUAUUUUUUAUUAUUUUAAAAAUUACCCGAGUUACAAUUAUUUAAAGUGGAUUAAGUCGAAAAAUAUUAUUUUUAUACCGAUAUUUGAAAAAAUUUAAAACUAUUAGGUAUUAUUAAGUACCUAUGUUGUUUAAUGAUUAUCUUAACAAAUUGUUUUUUUCCCUACCCGAACAUUUGUCAAAUUUCUUUGUUUUAAAUUGUUUGAAAUAUUGAAAAAAAAAAAAAUCAUAUUUUUUAAUCAAUUUUAGAUAGCUGCGUAUCGUGUCGUUUUCGAGGUAAAAAAAUAAAUAGUAUCAAUUUAAAAGUUACGAACGUUAAAAAUGUAUCCGAUAGACGUGCGCCAUUUCAGUAACCCCGACACCUACCGAAAAUGGAAUUCAAAUUAUAAUACAUAACGCUGCUAGUAUUAUCUGCAGUGUUGAAUCCAGAUAUAUGACGGGAGGGUGAUAUUCCUCUCCCUCCAUGUAAAAUGUGAGUAAAAUAAUCGUUAAUUAAAUAAUUAAACAAAUUUGACUGGUUUUAGCAAGAGAGUAGGUAAGCAAAAAAAUAAAAACAAAAGUCAUUACUAUAAUUUUAUUAGUGCUCUUCCUAGAAAAAAUGUCCGGGUCUAAACAUUGGUUACCCAGAAACACGGACACACUGUAUACGGAUGUGUAUAGAAACAAUGAAAUGUUCUGACGAUAAUUAGGCUAUACAAUGUGCAGCGCGUAUGACAUUUAAAGUUUCCGUCGUUGAGUUUUUCAAUACGAACGAGUGUACACGGUUUAAAACGCAGGCAUUUGAAAAAUAUUUCCAUAUUCAUAUCGUAAAACGUGAGACGCUCAGCGCGGCGGUGUUUUGUAACUGGAUUGUAAAUAGACCGGUGUAUUAAAAAAUUUUUGUUUAUUAUUUAAUUUUUUUUUUAUUCACCAUGAAGUGGGCUUACAGCUGACCUAUUCGGCCGAUGUCCAGCAGGAAUGGAAGUGAUUAUUUGUGCGGAAUUUUAACAUUCGAUUUUUAUGGUUUUAAAUUCGUAAAUGUUUCAAUCGUAUUCUAAAUACAACAAUGCAGCCGAUAUAUUUUAUUAUGCACUUACUGCGCCACGGAGAUUGAUCUAUGCGAAAUUUUUAACAAAAAACCCUCUUUCGCUUUAUAUGUUAUUCCGUAUCAACCCUAUCUAAAAUGAAGUAUUUGUUUUUGUUUUUUUUGUUUGUUUCCGAUUUCUUAAAAUAAAUUUUAAUUUUCAUACCCGUCAUAUUUUUUACUGCCGUCUCUCUCUCUUUGGCCGAAAGUAUUUCGUGGUUACGUUCAAACUCCGAUAGUGUCUUAUUGGUUCGAGAUCAGCAGCUAUAGUUUCAAAACAAUUGAAAAAAAAUUCAAAGUUUCGCGUUAUAACGUGAAGUCGUUGAUUUACAUAUCGCAUCACUUAGUUUGAUAAACAUAAACUCGAAAUAAUUACGAGCGGUCUAGAUUGAGAGGAUCUUGGUUCUGGGAUCGCCUGUGCGUCCACGUAAAACAUAUAUCGAUGGGAGGGGGGUUUCGGGUGGGGGGGAAGAACAGUAAGUAACACAACAUUUGAACGUUUUUAACUGAAUCGUAUAUAGAGUGUGGUGCGUUUUUUAAACGUCGAGAUUGGCGGCAUAGGGGUUGAACACCUAAACCCCUUCCACCUGAUUCGGUAAUGUGUUUCCGUACGGAAAACUACGGGUACAACGCAACACGAAUAACGUACACAGGGCGGUUAGGAAUAAACGGAUUGCCCGGUGGUGCAUGCAGAGGGGGGGUUAAGAGGUCAUAACCCCUCCCGAAAUUUUUCUCUUCAAUGCAAUUUUUUUAAAUCGAGUUUUACGCAUUCAAAAACAUAUGUUAUCUUAUACCACGGAAUAAAAUAAAAUUGAAUUCGAUCAAAACAAUCAUUCAUUCAGUAUUGUAUCAUAUUAAUACAUGCGCUGUUUCCCUCUACAGAGUUCUUAAAAACUAAAAACCCCUCCCGGA